This is a long non-coding RNA of Phacochoerus africanus (Common warthog), 1225 nucleotides long. RefSeq lists it as uncharacterized. NCBI's taxonomy places the organism in Eukaryota, Metazoa, Chordata, Mammalia, Artiodactyla, Suidae. The record is from RefSeq and is a predicted model, not a curated record. The transcript has 2 exons.
GGUUGCACAAUCCCGGGGCAGAACUGCCUUCGCCUAGCCCUAAAGCAUCAGGUACUAAGAACUGCACGAAGUCAGCGUCAGAAUGUUUUAAAUUUUAAAGCAAGAGGAAAACCCAAGAGUAGCCUGAACCAAUUUAGCCAGCCCAUAAACCCGAAUUGACGAAUUAGUCACGUCACUUGAGAAUGAAAUUAAGUUUUGAUCCCUUUGAGAUCUUAGCGCAGUCAGGCUGCUAUCACUGCAAGAGGAAUCUGACCCUGGCUCGAGAAAAACUACUUGUCGAACUCGUGCCCUUUCAGCCCACCAUGGGGGGGCCGCGCCAGUCGGGUCGGGCGAAGAGCUAGUUUGGGGGCGCAGCCGGGCCAGGCGGGGGCGGCGAGCGCGCGUCCCCCCGCCCGCUCCGGCGGCGUCGAGGCGCGAGCAGCUCAGCCAGCCUUGCAGAGGGAGCUCUCGGCAGCUCUGGGGUCCCUCUGCUCGCAGCCGCAGCAGCGCCGCCUGCGCCACUCGGUGGAGACGGAGACCAGCGGCGGCGACGUGCGGACUGGGAGCGACCGCCGAGCAGCCAGGCGGCGGAGGACACUCGCAAGGCGCGGCUGCUCCAUGUCAGCAUUUACUGAGGAUCCAUACACCCUGAGUAUCUUCAGAGAUAAGUGAGACUUGACCAUGGACAUCACUCAAACUGACCAUCACCCCGUUGCAGCCUUCUGAAACAAGGUCAGUGACAGUCUUAUUUUCCAAAUGAUAGAUGGUCUCACUUAGCAGUUUGUAUAGGCCUGGGAAUCCUUCCCAAGCUCACCCUUCUAUGUUACCUAUGCCCAGAAGAGCCAGGUCUGGCAGCUAAGCCAAGAGCUUUCUGUCCACAUGUGAGGGAUAGCCUGAAGAGAGCACUUCAGGGCUGUUGGGGGUUGGGGGAGCAUGUCAAACGCCAAGGGUUCAGCAAAUUGUACCCGUACGCUAGGCAGAAGCACACAAGGAAGGCACCCCCGCUCUGUGGGUGAGACAAAGAAGCGGCUCCCUUCCCACGUGCCAACCCAUCUGCUUCUUUGCCUUUACCAACAUGCCUUUUUUUUGUUUUCCUUUCUUCUUUUUUUGGUUCUCUGCAGCUCUGAAUACAUGGGGAAGAAGAAUGAGAGACUGGAGGAAUGGUAAGGUUGGAAGAGGGCAAAAGAGAGGAGGGGAGUGAGGGGAGCCUCCAGUGACCACCAACGCAAUAAACUAUCCUGGACUA